Molecule: long non-coding RNA, 2609 nt
Filed under: Coffea arabica (coffee)
Lineage: Eukaryota; Viridiplantae; Streptophyta; Magnoliopsida; Gentianales; Rubiaceae
Description: long non-coding RNA (CARA_LNC006761)
Source: RNAcentral
UAUUAAAAGUGUGUUUUUAUCCUUGUCUCUUAACCCUAAGACGGAUUAAGUUGGCAGCUGGAAGCAUCUGCUUCUCCGCGGUUUGGUUGCUCCCCCUGGUUGGGUGUCUGUACUCUGUAUAUACCAAGUCUUGACGUCAACGAUGACAUCAUCAAUCCCCUGAUUUUUGAUUUUUUCGUCGUUGUUUUGCUUGCAUAUGCUGUCAAGAAGCGCUUCAUCCCCCGUGAGUUUCUUGAACUUCAUUCAUUCCCCUUUCCCGUCUAGUCCUCCGGACAAGCUUUAACUAAUUCUAAGGUUUUGGGUCGUACGCCAAAGCAAAAAGAAAGCAAAAAGCUUCAGCUUUGAGGCGGUAGUCAUUUUGGCAUCCAAUAGAUGAAUCGUUGUUGGCGGGUUUUCUCUUUCUUUGCCCCCUUUUUUUUUUUUUAUAAGAAACGAUGAAUGUAGAUUGAUAAUAUGGAUCCAAGCACUCAUCUUUCUUUAAUUUUGAGUCACUUCUGUCGAUUGUUCAUUGUUAUAUGCUGGGUCCCGAAUUGUGGUUUAGUUGGUAUGAACAGAAACUUGGAGCUUUUAUGUGAAUUUACAGGAGGCAAUAGUUUAUAAUAUAUGUGCAUACAUUGGAUACUGGUAGUUCGUACAUUAGCAAAAGCUGUUUACUAUAGUGUACAAGUUUCAUCAAGAACUGUAGACAAAAGCAGCAAAAGCUGGUAUGUACAUUAGCAAAAGGUGAUCAUUGACAAAAAUAGGUGACUUUAUGACACUAAACUGAUCUCAAAAGCUGAUGCAAAACAUAGGAAUGGUGCAUGAUUUUAGUCGAUUAUUUGGUGCUUUGGCUGGUCAGUGAUUGUUGCUGGUGGAUCUCUUUUCUUAGUUGCUGUAGCUUGUGCGAUGGUUGGAUUGGUUGUGUCUUUGCUUGAAUCUUCAGUUGCAAUUUGUUGAUCAGGUAGGUUUGAUGAUGAGGCUUCAUUGGUUGCUGGUGCAGGGGUCUGUGUAGGAUCUUCAAUUGGUAGACAAGCGAGGAUGUUGUACUUUGCUACAAUUGUGUUUUGUAGAGGAUGAGUGAAUUUCCUGACUUGAAAACGAAAUGUGCUCAUAUGGAGCUUUAUAUUGAUGUCUGCAAUAUCUGGAAUUUGGUUCUGUGGACAUUGGUUUCUGAAUGAGUAUGUCUUUGGUUUGGUAUAUGAAUAGUGUGAAUAAAUUUGUAUUCUAUAAAAAGUAAUGUUGUUAAUGUUCAAAAUUACCUUUAGUGUCAUGUAGAGUAUGUCUUCAGCAGAGAUGUUGAGAAUGUGUUGAGCAUGCUGGUCUUCAAUUUGUGCAGUAAUUGUUCCAGUAGUAUCAGACAGUUGCACUAAGAACUUGAGCCUGCAUUAAGUAUUAUGGUUUUGUUAUGUUAUGAUAAGAAGAAUGUUAUGAAUUUUAGUGUGUAAAUAUGUUUAUGGAUUUACCUUGGCAGUGGUUUUGCAAAUGUCAUGUUGCAAUGACGGCAUAAGAAGUUGAAAUUUGCUUGAGCUCCAGUUUGUUUCUUGCAAUUAGAAGCUGGACAGGUAAGGAUGUAGAGUCGAUGUUGAGGCUGAACUAUCUUUGCUUUGGCUUUGAUCCAGAAUGGCUUUGCCUGUAAGAUUUCAUGUGGUUAAAUAUUAGAUUUUGUUGUGAUAGUAUUUGUUAUCGAAUAUAUUGUAUUUUGUACUGAUAAAUGUAGUAGUUGUACCAGAUAAGGAGUAUUUAGUGCAUAGCUGAUGUCGUGCAUAUGUUCUUCAGGAGGAGGUUGGACUGUUUGAUGAGUUGCAUCAUAAAGUUUUUUUGCUAAAACUUGCUCAAUAUAAGGUCUGCUUGCUUUGGUCCUGUUAUAUUGUAUAGGAUGGUGUCAGAUUUUGGUUAUAAUGUGCCUAACGAAUAAGUAAAUAUUGACUUUAUCAACUUACCAACUUUUGAGUUCUAGUGCUUGAGGGAUUUGUGGAUCAAACAAGAUAGCACUCAUUGUUUGUGUCUCGACAGAUAAAACUGUUAUAUGAUUAUUUGAAAAAUUAGUACUAUAUUCUGUAAAGCAGAUAAUAUACUUGACUUUUGUAAGUUUAUAUGAAUUAGGGACAGAUUGACAUACCAUGUACUGAAGUCACUUUGGCUCUUGUUAUAAUCAAUGUCGGGGAUUGAUUUAAGAUCCUCAGAAGGUAUUGUGCUUCAAUGUCAAUGAAUUUUGGCCACAUUGUAAGUAUCAUUGGCUUUUGUCUGCAUCAGUUAUCAAUAGUUAAUAUGAGUUUUGUGUUGUAUUGCACUUUAUUAAUUUGCAUUGUUUUUAUACUUACUCUUGAUUUAGGAUGAUGAAUUCUUGAAUUGGAUAAUCGCCUCUUUGUCGUGCAAUGAAGCGACGGGGAAGAGCUCCAAUGACAGUGCAUAGCAGAGCUGAGACAAGAGCAUUAGGUAUUAGUAUUGAUAUGUAAGAAUCAUUGUAGUAACAAUGUAAUGAAAAUUAUUAAAGUGAAGUAGUACUUAUCGGAUUUGUAUUUGUAUCCAUGUACUUAUAGAAGUCUCUGAAUGGUGUAAAAUUGUAGCACUGAUCGAUAGGAUACUGGUUUUCUUGAUCUGCUUCUUUGAUGAAUGUACCUCUGGUCAAG